Molecule: non-coding RNA, 1794 nt
Organism: Rhopilema esculentum
Lineage: Eukaryota; Metazoa; Cnidaria; Scyphozoa; Rhizostomeae; Rhizostomatidae
Source: RefSeq, a predicted model, not a curated record
UACCAAAGAUACAAUUUUACUGAACAUGAAGAAAAUUUCAUACGCUUAAUUUUUUCCUUUAGGGGCCCUUGCAAAUUUAUCUUUUAUGAUAAAGCCGGACCUUUAAUGAAAUAGAUUAGGACAGUUUUCAUUUAGACAGAAGUAUAAUUUUCUAAUGGUGUGGCACUAUUCACAUGGAAACUACAAUACUUGAGACCACGUACCAACCCCAGUUGAUACGACACUGGAAAAUAGUGAAUAUGUGAGACUGUAGCUGAAAAUAUAUGAUAUAUGUGAAGAAGAAAGUAAUUUGAGAGUGGCCAGUGAGGUUUAAUGUUUUGGCGUGUUAUUUAUGCAAUAUGGUGUCUGGUGUGAAUGGUUUUUGUUUUGAACAAGGAAAUAUGCCGCCUCCAGCGCUCCAUAUCUGUUCUUGCGAAGCUGUGCAGCGUCUUUGUAUGUCUCACUAUUGUUGUAAGACCUUCACCAAAGAAGCGCGGUUAUACCCGCGGCUACCGCGAAUACAUACUAUGAAUGUAUGACCAGGUGGUUUAAGCAGGCCAUACUAGUAGCUUAGCGAACAGGGUAUAUAAUGAAGAGGUGGUUUGUGCAGUCAGUGCAGUUGUGUCUUGCGAAUGAAUGUGGUGGCGCUUGAAACUCGAAUCUCAAAUCUCUAUCAAAGAAAUCCGUCUCAGUUGUCAUUAGUUCAUGUCACAACGUCUUGUGUUUGGAUUUUGCAAUUUGAUAUGAGGAUUUUCUGCAGCCUUGAGGUGAAGACAAUGAAGUCUGUUUCUCCGAUACUGAUCGUUGUUAUUGUUGUUUGCUCCGUUUUUGGUGCCGAUGGGCAUGAUUUUCAACAUCUGAAAAUGCAUCACCAGAUCUGUAAUUACUACGAUUUGACUGAAUUUCUUGCACCAAUAUGCACCGCGUUUUACGGACGAAGAUAUCGGAGGGAUGCUGAGAGUCCUUCAAAUAUCAUCAGUGAAUCGAAACAAGCUCUAAGCUUUCUGAAAUCCUCUCUUCGAUCGAGAAGACGACGAGCAACUUCAAGGGACGUCUCUUAUUAUGAUGAAUGCUGCUCAAGUAAGAUUUGUUCCUUCCAAGAACUAUUCGAGUAUUGUACAGUUAUCCCAUUUCAUCGUCUUUUACAUAAACGCUAGCCGUGCGUAGCGAAAGGUCUGACGCAUUCAUUAAAUACUACGCCAUCAGAUCCUAGAAAGACUCGCCAAACGUAAACUUCCUUUGUCAUAGAUGAUAUACAUUUGGCAACUUUCCCAGGCGAUUCGAGACAACUCAGUUAUCCCAAUGAAUCUCAAACAAUCCCAAAAUAAUUUUCAUUGCACUUUCGCUCUUUUGUUGCUAUCGGGUUUUUACCGACCUGAAAGCAAUUGCCUUCUCAAUCCUUGAAUUUUAUUUCCAUCACUUCUACAAUAUUAUUUAUAGAAACACGGUUUAGAUACUCAAAAUUUAUCGCCAAAGAGAAUUUUAUGGCUUAUGGUCUUAUGAAUAAAAUCAAAUCUACAUCAACCACUUAUUGUAGCUAAUUCCAUUCUAACGUAGAAAGUUUUGAAUGCAAGAAUUCCAUUCUAUGUUAAAAAAUAUAUGUGAUGUACAUAUUAGUUACCAGACUGAUAUAAAGUAAAUUUUAAAUAGAGUAUUUCGAUUCUCGUGUAAUAUUAUUUAAAUUUAUUCCGUAAGGUAGCUUCUUUACCUCCGAAUUGUCUAAGAUUUAAGAAAAUAUGACAUUGAAUGAAUUUGAAUGAAAUUCAUUAACACUAUCUUAAAAUUUUCAUUUGAUUUCUCAAUGUAUGUCUGCAU